This 4108-nucleotide unclassified non-coding RNA is filed under the name Anneissia japonica. Its description in RNAcentral is "kelch-like protein 11, transcript variant X1". Lineage: Eukaryota; Metazoa; Echinodermata; Crinoidea; Comatulida; Comatulidae. The record is from RNAcentral.
UAAGCGAUUACUCUUGUUCCGUGCUCAAGUAACUUCCGAUAUAUAGCAACUUGUUACUAUUAGCUGUUUAUUGUUGUUGUCGUAGUGCUGAGAAUAGGUCGAUUGAUAUGGCGCUCUGUCGCCACAGUGACUCACAUAAACCAAUGGAGUUCAAAGAAAACGACCAAGCUGCUAAGGUUCUAGAAAAAUUACGCCAAUAUAGAAACGAUGACAAAUAUUGUGAUAUGGUGCUGCAAGUUGAAGGGAAAGAAUUUAAGGCGCACAGGAAUGUUCUGGCCGCCUGUAGCCCCUACUUCGACACAAUGUGCAAUAGUGGUUGGGAAGAGGACAGGCGGAGGGCUGCCGUUAUCGAAGGCACCACGGCCGACGCCAUGGAACACAUUUUGAACUAUAUGUAUACUGGAAGUAUAUCUUUAAAUUCAGACAAUGUCCAUUGUAUAUUAGAAGGUGCUGACCAUUUUCUCAUGACAAAUCUUAAACAGCAUUGUCUGCAUUUUUUGGACCGCCAUUUGAAUUCUUCGAACUGUUUAGUGGUCAAAGGUCUGUCCUACUUGUAUGGAUUUGAACAAUUGCUUGAAAAGUCCAGUAAGUUCAUUAGGAACAAUUUUAAACAAGUCGUAACCGAUUCAGUUGAUGAUUUAGUUCGGCUGCAGUUUGAACAGAUAUUAGAAUUAGUAUCUGAUGAGAAAGUCCGAGUAAAAAUGGAAGAAACAAUUUAUAACACCAUUUUAAAAUGGGUUAAACAUGACAGCAACUCCAGAAAGCAAUAUUUUGCACCACUUCUGAAACAUGUGCGGCUUGCUCAGUUGAAUCGGACUUUUCUCAUAAAGAAUGUCGAAAAAGAGGAGUUGGUUCUUGCGAGUCAGGACUGUAGAGAUUUGGUUGCUGAUGCAAAGAGGCAAACAGAUACUACACGCACAAGUUAUUGCGGGGACAGUCCUGUGCUGAAACCUCGCAAAGGAAAAUUAACAGAUGUUGUCGUGAUCACAGGUGGUGUUUCCGAUCUGGGUCCAUCUCAUUACUGUUAUGUGUACAUUUUACACGAGAAUAGGUGGACUCAUCUGCCGGACUUGCCAAUUAACGAAUUGCGUUUUCAUGCAAGCGCUGUUCUUGAUGGAAAAAUGUACAUUGCUGGUGGAACAAGCAGUGGGCUUAUAUCCAGUAGAGUGCAUUGUUACGAUACAAACACAAACUGUUGGUAUAAUGUGGAAAGUUUGCAGACGCCUCGGGAGUAUUUAUCGCUAGUGGCGUGUAAUGGACGUCUGUAUGCAAUGGGUGGGAUCAAGUGGGAUAGGGUGUUACAAACUGUUGAAUGCUUUGAUCCAGAAAUGGAGGAAUGGAAAAGCGCAACACCAAUGACCAAAGGUCGCUAUGGCAUGCAUAUGGCCGUGUUAGAUGACCGUUACAUUUAUGCAAUUGGGGGUAGGGAUGAACACCGUAGACCCGUUCCGUCAGUUGAACGUUACGACACAGAGACGGACACAUGGUUCCAGCUACCAUCUAUACCCCUAGAUAGAGACAAUUUCUGGGAUUUUCCAGUCGUUGAAGCCCAUAAAGGCAAGAUAUAUGUCACCGAUCUAUCAACGAAAGAAUUGUGUCUAAAUCCGGAACGAAACACAUGGACAGAGCAAAGUUCAUUCCAUUAUGGAAAAUUACCGGAAAGGAAGUGCUUCCAGUACUGUGCAUGGAACCGGAACGUGCUGGUCUUUGGUGGGUCGGGAAGUGAACGGACUAUUAGCUCAACCGUCCCAGAAGCGUGUAUUUAUGACCGCGUUCAUGGACUAUGGAGUAGCAUUCGACCUCCACCAGCAUCGACAUUGGGCUCAUCUUGUGUCAUACUCCAAGUUCCAUACGAAUUUCUUGGUGACUAGAUGGGGUGCUGACAAUAUUUUAAUUGAAAGGACAUCUAAAUGGAGAAAAGACAAUUGUUGGUAUAAUGUAUCUGGUCCAACCAUCAGAUAGAGGGCAGUACGUAAGCAGAACAGAACGUACAGAAGAAUGCUUUGAAGAUACCUGCAAAGACCUGUGCAAUUUAUUUAUACUCGCGCCCUAGAAUGUUGUGUCAAAAAAUAGAGAAGUGGGGUUAAUAUUUUAUUAUUAAAAAUUUUACUUGAUUAAUGCUUUUUCUUUUUAAACUUGACAAGUUUUUAUUGUGUGUGAAUUAUACAACCAUUGUGGUACACCUGGAAUGAGUGUGUUUUUUUAUAUGCAGGGUUUACUUUUUUUAAUUUUAUUCAUUUUAUUAUUAUCCGUUUGUUCAUAUAAUGAGCAUAAGAAAUUUAGCUAAACAUUUUUUUUAUAGACAUUCCCAUAAAAAUAUGUGUCCAAUAUACCCACAAUAUUCUAAUUAUGAAAUAUAAUAUAAUACAGUAUAAAUGGCUAACAAAAUUAAUGGUUGAUGUAAAAUUCAUCAGCAGAUACAUUGGUGGGGGAGGUGGGAAGGGGUGCUUCCUCUCCUUUCUGGCACAGCAGCAAAAAAAAAAAAAAAAUAUCUAACCAAGUGUGUGAAAUCAUUUGCACAAGAUACUAAAAUGGUUAACACAACAUUGCAACAAUGUUUGCAACAUUAUUUAGUCAGAAAUUACAUUAUAAAUAAGUUACUUUUUUAAAAAACCCACCUUUUUUUUAUACCAAAAUGCAACAUUGUUAUAAUAACGUAACGUGGGACAAUCGUUUAUAUAGGAACUCAAUUUCAGGUUUCACGUGCAAACCCCAUCUGGUUUUCAUUUGGCUAGACAGAAGAAGCUGAUACUGUUCUCAACAACAAUAACGUAUUGUUUCCUCUAUGCUCAUAGACAGCUGCCAUCCAUCUGCAAAACUCAAAUUUUGUACAUGAUGAAAUGGUGUCACUUUUGCUAAAGGGACACACAUCUUUACUUUGCUUCUAACUUCACCUUUGGUCAGAUGUAAAAGUGAAUAAUAGUACACACUAAAAUCUUGUUCUACCAUUCACCUGUAGCUAGGGUAUUGAUUGUGCUCGGAUCAGCUGUUUAUACCAAGGUCUUUUGUGGGCAGAUCGAUAACAGAUUAUACAUUUUCCAGGCUAGCAUGCUUGCGCAAUAUUCCAUUCUAAAUGCUCAGCUUGUGGUCCAUCUGUUUAUAUACUCCCCCUUAUACUAGUCUAGCCUCCUGGUGCUUAUUCAAUCUGGUUGUCUUAUUAAUUUCUUAAUUAAAUUUGAAAUUAAAACACAAUGCAUCCAUUUAAACAUAGGAGUAUAUAAAAGUACUUCUAUUGUCAUGACAUAUAAUAGCAUUAGUAUUUUUUUCUUGAUUGAAACCAAAACAUAUUAAAUACAUAUAUGAAUUUCAUGUAUGCAAAAGCUUACAAAACAAAAGUUUUUGUAAUGUUUAUGGUAUACUGUACUAUAUCGUAGUUACAAAACAAGCGCGUCCCAUUGUAUUGUAUCCUUUAACAAGCAUAAAAGCGAUAAAACAGUGUUUUGAGUAUCAGGUGAAUGGAUCACUAUGCCUAGUGUGUAUACAAAGAGCUGGUACUGUACUCAAAACAAAGGGGUGAUUGACCUAAUAGCAGUACUUGGCAAAACCUACAAAAAAAUUGAAAGCGCACGUCUUCAAUUGCAAACCAAUGUUAUUAUCUUGUUUACAAUCUGAAAAACAGACCCAUUGUUUGCUGAGCAUGUCUGACAUUUUCAAAUCAAAGGUGGUAUCUAUUAUGUUCAGUCUGCAUUCAUAUUUAAAUUAUAUUGAUGUUUGAAACAGAUAAUUCAAUUAACAUAGGGAAAAUUCCAAUUUUUGCAAAUGUUAGUGUGGGAAAAGGCAGAUUUGUAGCACUAAUGAAGUACUGUAUGGGUAGUGACAAUUUAAGUGAAUAGUCCAAUGAUGCAAAGAUUGAAACAAAUAAUUUGUUUGUAAAUUUUAGGAUAUUUUACAACAAAAAUCUUUAAACAUUACUACUACAUUGCAGCAAUGUUAUUUGUGGUUACAGUAUAAAAAAAAAAUAUUUUGAAUAGCCAACGUAAAGUUGUUAACUGGGUAGGUUAUUGCAAAGAAUGAAUUAUUAUUUGUAUGACAGUUGUUUAAUUCAGUGUGGACAUUUCUCAUUCUAAUUCUCAAUUUAAAACUAAUUUACUUUAAUCUAAAGUUUCAA